This 1242-nucleotide ribosomal RNA is filed under the name metagenome. RNAcentral's name for it is "bacterial LSU rRNA". It matches the Rfam family "Bacterial large subunit ribosomal RNA", at positions 1564 to 2817 of the family's 2925-position model. The record is from RNAcentral.
UGAAUACGAGACGCUAAGGCGUCGAAGUAGUGUAUGUCAUACUUCCAAGAAAAGCUUGCACUGUCAUAGAUAAAAAACGCCUGUACCAUAACCGACACAGGUGGGUAGGUAGAGUAUACUAAGGGGCGCGAGAUAACUCUCUCUAAGGAACUCGGCAAAAUAACUCCGUAACUUCGGGAGAAGGAGUGCCUUAUUAUUAAGGUUGCAAUAACAAGAUCCAAGCAACUGUUUAUCAAAAACACAGGUCUCCGCUAAGUCGUAAGACGAUGUAUGGGGGCUGACGCCUGCCCAGUGCCAGAAGGUCAAAGAAGCUGGUUAGCAUUUGCGAAGCUAGUAACUGAAGCCCUGGUGAACGGCGGCCGUAACGAUAACGGUCCUAAGGUAGCGAAAUUCCUUGUCGGGUAAGUUCCGACCCGCACGAAAGGCGUAAUGAUUUGGAUACUGUCUCGGAGAGGGGCUCGGUGAAAUAGACUUGUCUGUGAAGAUGCGGACUACCUGCACCAGGACAAAAGACCCUAUGAAGCUUUACUGUAACUUGAAAUUGAAAUUGGACUUUAUUCGCGCAGUAUAGGUGGGAGGCGUUGAUUAUAAUCUUGCGGGAUUAUUGGAGCCAUUAGUGAGAUACCACUCUUGUAAUGUUAGAUUUCUAACUUUGAAUCAUUAUCUGGUCAAAGAACAGUUUCAGGCGGGCAGUUUGACUGGGGCGGUCGCCUCCUAAACGGUAACGGAGGCGUACAAAGGUUUCCUCUGAACAGUUAGAAAUCGUAUCUAGAGUGUAAAGGCAUAAGGAAGCUUGACUGUGAGACCUACAAGUCGAGCAGGGACGAAAGUCGGUCUUAGUGAUCUGACGGUACUGAGUGGAAAGGCCGUCACUCAACGGAUAAAAGUUACUCUAGGAUAACAGGCUGAUCUCCCCCAAGAGUUCACAUCGACGGGGAGGUUUGGCACCUCGAUGUCGGCUCAUCGCAUCCUGGGGCGGUAGUACGUCCCAAGGGUUGGGCUGUUCGCCCAUGAAAGCGGUACGCGAGCUGGGUUCAGAACGUCGUGAGACAGUUCGGUCCAUAUCCGGUGUAGGCGUUAGAAUAUUGAGAGGAGCCUUCUUUAGUACGAGAGGACCGAGAAGGACAUACCUCUGGUGUACCAGUUAUCGUGCCAACGGUAGACGCUGGGUAGCUAUGUAUGGAGUGGAUAACCGCUGAAAGCAUCUAAGUGGGAAGCCCACCUCAAGAUAAGUAUUCUCAU